This 397-nucleotide ribosomal RNA is filed under the name uncultured bacterium. Its description in RNAcentral is "partial 16S ribosomal RNA". It matches the Rfam family "Bacterial small subunit ribosomal RNA", at positions 523 to 918 of the family's 1533-position model. The record is from RNAcentral.
AUACGUAGGUGACAAGCGUUAUCCGGAUUUACUGGGCGUAAAGGGCGUGUAGGCGGUCUUGCAAGUCAGAAGUGAAAUUCCUGAGCUCAACUCGGGCGCUGCUUCUGAAACUGCAGGACUUGAGUGCUGGAGGGGAUAGCGGAAUUCCUAGUGGAGCGGUAAAAUGCGCAGAUAUUAGGAAGAACACCGGUGGCGAAGGCGGCUAUCUGGACAGUAACUGACGCUGAGGCGCGAAAGCGUGGGGAGCAAACAGGAUUAGAUACCCUGGUAGUCCACGCCGUAAGCGAUGAAUACUAGGUGUAGGGGGUAUCGACUCCCUCUGUGCCGCAGUUAACACAAUAAGUAUUCCGCCUGGGGAGUACGGCCGCAAGGUUGAAACUCAAAUGAAUUGGCGGGG